AUUCGGGUAGCUUAAGUUUAAAGCUUAGUAUUGAAGAUACUAUGAUGAGUUUAUACUUUCCGGGUA
Molecule: transfer RNA, 66 nt
Filed under: Catamiarus brevipennis
Lineage: Eukaryota; Metazoa; Arthropoda; Insecta; Hemiptera; Reduviidae
Description: tRNA-Phe
Source: RNAcentral